This 460-nucleotide ribosomal RNA is filed under the name uncultured bacterium. Its description in RNAcentral is "partial 16S ribosomal RNA". It matches the Rfam family "Bacterial small subunit ribosomal RNA", at positions 338 to 795 of the family's 1533-position model. The record is from RNAcentral.
CCUACGGGGGGCUGCAGUGAGGAAUAUUGGUCAAUGGGCGCGAGCCUGAACCAGCCAAGUAGCGUGAAGGAUGACGGCCCUACGGGUUGUAAACUUCUUUUAUAAAGGAAUAAAGUGAGGCACGUGUGCCUUUUUGUAUGGACUUUAUGAAUAAGGAUAGGAUACCUCCGUGCCAGCAGCCGCGGUAAUACGGAGGUUCCGAGCGAUAUCCGGAUUGAUUGGGUUUAAAGGGAGCGUAGAGGGGUUGUUAAGUCAGUUGUGAAAGUUUGCGGCUCAACCGUAAAAGUGCAAUUGAUACUGGCAGUCUUGAGUCCAGUUGAGGUCGGCGGACUUCGUGGUGUAGCGGUGACCUGCUUAGAUCUCACGAAGACCUCCGAUUGCGACGGCAGCUUACUAAACUGCCACUGACAUUGAUGCUCGACAGUGUGGGUAUCAAACAGGCUUAGCUCCCCGGGUCGUC